AUACGGAGGGUCCGAGCGUUAAUCGGAAUUACUGGGCGUAAAGCGCGCGUAGGUGGUUCAGUCAGUCAGAUGUGAAAGCCCCGGGCUCAACCUGGGAACUGCACCUGAUACUGCUGAGCUAGAGUACGGUAGAGGGCAGUGGAAUUUCCGGUGUAGCGGUGAAAUGCGUAGAGAUCGGAAGGAACACCAGUGGCGAAGGCGACUGCCUGGACUGAUACUGACACUGAGGUGCGAAAGCGUGGGUAGCAAACAGGAUUAGAUACCCUGGUAGUCCACGCCGUAAACGAUGUCAACUAGCCGUUGGGGGACUUGAUCCUUUAGUGGCGAGGCUAACGCGAUAAGUUGACCGCCUGGGGAGUACGGCCGCAAGGUUAAAACUUAAAGGAAUUGACGGG
Molecule: ribosomal RNA, 395 nt
Filed under: uncultured bacterium
Lineage: Bacteria
Description: partial 16S ribosomal RNA
Rfam family: Bacterial small subunit ribosomal RNA
Source: RNAcentral